GACGAACGCUGGCGGCGUGCUUAACACAUGCAAGUCGAACGGAAAGGCCCUGCUUUUGUGGGGUGCUCGAGUGGCGAACGGGUGAGUAACACGUGAGUAACCUGCCCUUGACUUUGGGAUAACUUCAGGAAACUGGGGCUAAUACCGGAUAGGAGCUCCUGCUGCAUGGUGGGGGUUGGAAAGUUUCGGCGGUUGGGGAUGGACUCGCGGCUUAUCAGCUUGUUGGUGGGGUAGUGGCUUACCAAGGCUUUGACGGGUAGCCGGCCUGAGAGGGUGACCGGCCACAUUGGGACUGAGGGACGGCCCAGAGUCCUACGGGAGGCAGCAGUGGGGAAUAUUGCACAAUGGGCCGAAGCCUGAUGCAGCAACGCCGCGUGCGGGAUGACGGCCUUCGGGUUGUAAACCGCUUUCACCUGUGACGAAGCGUGAGUGACGGUACUGGGUAAAGAAGCACCGGCUAACUACGUG
This 468-nucleotide ribosomal RNA is filed under the name uncultured bacterium. RNAcentral's name for it is "partial 16S ribosomal RNA". It matches the Rfam family "Bacterial small subunit ribosomal RNA", at positions 28 to 507 of the family's 1533-position model. The record is from RNAcentral.